UUCAGCAUUUAAAGGGAUAGAUAAUACAGUCUUGGUAAUGAAGAGCUAUGUUUGUUAUUUUUACUGUCAUAUAUGAAUGUAGUUUAUCAGAUAUACCUGAGCUGAUCUUUUUUUAAUGCUGAUAUAAAGUGGUGAUAUUAUUGGAUAUCAUGAGGUAUACCAAGGUUAUUAUUGAAUGAUACAGCGCAGAAAACUGACAUUGUAACUACAGUCAAAUCUUUGUGUAUUAUGCAUAAUCUUUGAAUAGUAUGUAAGCAUUCUACGUUUAAUCUUUAAGGGGUAUGGUGGCCAAGUGGUGUCUGUCUCAUCCCAGGGAUCAUGGGUUCAAGCCCUGCUUGGAUCAUGACCAUGUUUCUUCAUGUGACACCAGUACUGGUUGGUUUCAGGCAGCGGACUCAAAAGUGAUUAAUAUAAGUUGCAAGAACUUUUUUCACAGUCAAGCUUAAAUAAAUAUGUUUAAACUAAUAAUCUUUGCAUAAAAGAUGGCCACUUAAUAACCUUGAAUAUUGUCUCAUUUCCUCAUUAAACUGCCAGUGUUUUUUUGUUUGCACUUUGAUUAGAUAAUGGAGUAUUAAUUUCCGUGUUUGUGAUAGACUGUAUCUUAACAAUAAUUAACUUCAAGUGACUUGUACAUACAGGUUUGACUGUAGCUAGAAUUUCAUGUUGUUGUUUUUUUCUGUAGUUAUAAAUGAUCUCUAUCGUUGUUUUGAAGAAUUGGAUCUGUGCUGGUAGUAAUUUCUUUACUUAUAGUAUUAUCCUUUUAACUUACAAAUUUUUACUUUUUUAAUGAAAAGAAAAUUUCAUAAUGUUCAUGUUCUGUAAAAGUUUAGGGUUUUUUUGUAUGUGUUUUUCUUUAAUUGAGCCGCGUCAUGACAAAACCAACGUAAUGCGUUUGUGACCAGCAUGGAUCCAGACCAGCCUGCACAUCCGCGCAGUCUGAUCAGGAUCCAUGAUGUUCGCUUUAAAACCCUAUUACAAGUAGAGAAACUGAUAGCAAACAGCAAUGAUCCUGAUCAGACUGCGCGGAGGCACAGGCUGGUCUGGAUCAAACCCACUAUGUUGGUUUUGUCAUGACACGGCUCAAUUAGGAUUUAAGUAUUUGUUUGUUGUUUGGUUUUCUUACUAAGUUAGAUCUAAUACAUUGGUUAUGUAAGAAACAUUUUCUUUUUUAAGUUGAACAAUUCAAAAAUGUAAGUUGUUCUAUUAUUCUUUGUAUAGAAGUACAAAUAUAUAUCAAGUCAUCCAUUUAUUUUCUGCAGAUUUUGUGUAACACAUUUGUCUUGCAUUGGAACAAGAACUGUUCCUUGUUAAUGUAACAGUCAUUACUUAGAUUCCUAUUUAGAUCCAAAAUCAUUUCAGCUUUAAGUUUGCUGUAUUUCAUUCUUGUGUAAGCUUAAUUUUAUAGUUGGAUUUUUACCCUUAAUCUGCUAAAUUUGUGUAAUUGAUUUGCCCUGCUCCGAAUUUGGAACAGUCCAAAUACAAAUUUUGAGCCUGACAAAUUGCCUGGCUCUAUAAGAGCUGUCUAGUUAGCUCAGAAGGUAGAGUGUUUGACUGUGAAUCUGAUGACACAGGUUUGAUACCCAAACAGUGCAGGUCACUUUGAUUGUGAUUGAUCAUGAGAUUAUUUCUACGGCCAUUCACUCUCUACCCCUCUGCCCUUGCAUGUACAGAGGUUAGCAGUUCCUUACGAAAGUGAAGGCAUCUAGUUCUGGUAAACUGCUCGACAGCUUGCCCAGGAACGAUGCAGUGGAUCAACUGUGCUCUGGUUAAUUUAAAUUGGCUUACUGCUGUGAUCUGGAGGGUAAACUACCAACACCACCACCAAUGCCUGGCUCUAUACAGGUGGUAAACACUAUACAUUACUGGUUCAGCAGAUUCAGGGUUAAAAUUCUCCGAUCUUUUACAGUGGACAGUUCUUGAUUGAAAACAUGACAAAUCUGUUGCGCAAAUUUAUCUGGUUAAGAUAAAAAAAUGAUUUUUGGUGCUCUAGCAUUUUUGUUAUGUAAUAUCUACAUGUAUAUAUAUAUGAAUUUUCAUCCAUUCAAAUCAUGAAUACAAUGUAACAUAUCAGUUCAUUUCACAUUAUAACGGCUUGUAGUUUUUAGCCAUAUAUGUCAAGACUUUUUACAGUCUCAUUGUCUGGGUUCAAAUUCUCUCAGCAACUUCUUUCAUGGGAAACUACCUUACAGAAUGUCAGUUGUUAUCAAAAAUAUUUUAUAAACAAGAGCAAAAAUGAUGUCUUGAUUUUAAGUCAGAUGAUCAUGUUCAUGGAAAAAUUAAAACAUUAACGGAUUCUUAAAAAGGCCAACUUUUUUAAUACAUCACUCUACAAACAUAACUGUUAAUAAAGCAGAGACAUAGAUAUUUAUCUAUGUCUCUGAAUAAAGUAAAAUAACAAAUCAGUGUUCAUUAUAAAAUUAAAUAUGAACAUGAGCCCUCCAUGGUCGAGCUAUGAAGGUCACUGAUUGAACAAUUGGCUCCUCAUUGCUGUGGGUGUGAAUUUUACAAGGUAUUUCGAAUUCUUGAAUUUGGGGAAGCUAUUCAGCAGACUUACUGAAGGUCAUGAUUCACUCUGGUGCUUAUUUAUGCCUGAAAUAAUGCACGGAUUGGCAUCUUGGGUCUUCAUAUACACUUAAGACCCAACAGAAAAGAACACCUAUUGAAGAAAUCUUAAUCUUAUUUUGAUUCGGAAGACAGAGGCCUUUAUUUAUUUUAUCCUGUAAAAUGUUUUGCCCAAUUUUUAUUUUAUUUUUCAAUUACAAUUAUUGUUGUACAGAAUGCUUAUAUAUUUUUGAUUAUUGUUCAUCAUUUUUGCUAUUGAAAUAGGUACAUCAACAAUGUAAUAUUUGAGCUUAUUUCAGAAUUUUUGAAUUGAUUUCUUUCCUUUAUAUUGUUUGUUUAACUUUUUUUCAUUUCAUUAAUUAAAUCUAAGCAAUAUUUCUUGUCAUAAUUUUCACCCAUAUUGAUAAAUUUAUGGCAUAUUGUUUUUAUUGUGUUUGGUUUAAUAAAUGUUGAUCUGUCUUUAGAGUCUCGACAGCAUUAAACUUACCAAUUACAUCGUCAUCCAUAUAAGCAAUCAUUAUAAGUAACUCUUUAUAAAAGCUUUAUUGUAAUUUAUGGAGGAUAUUGAAAGAGUUUAAUAUGUUUAUAUUACGUGAGCCUUAUUUAUUCUACAAGUUUGGGGCGUCCGUGAUUAGAGUUGUUUAGGUUGUUGACUUGUCACUCACCCCUGUGGGUUCGAAUCCCGCAAAUUCAAACAACACAUCCAGUUCUUUCAUGUGAGGUUGUACUUCAGCUAGCUUAGGGAAUGUCAGUGGUUCUACUCAGGUGCCCGUUUGAGCAUGAAAUAAUGGACGUAGGGGUACCAUGGCACAGCACCAUGGACAAAAUAUAUUCAGAAUCAUUUUAGUAAAUUGAAAUAGUUCCAUUAAAUUGCUUUCUACCCUGAUGAAUUUGUGUAAUGGAUUUGCCCUGUUUUAAUUAUGAACAGUUUUAACUGUUUAUCCAAAGUUUUAAGGAAUUUUAAUGUCAAUAAUACAAAAAUUGAGCUACCAAAAAACAACAGUAAAAAGUCUGGACACACUGCGUGGAUAUGCAGGCUGGCCCACACUUGGGUCUGUCAGUUUUAGUGUUAAGAUAGGUCGAAUACAAUGAAAAGACAGGGUUGAAUGUUGUGUGACGAUAAAAUUUGUUUUUAAAAUAUUGUAUGUUUUUCAAGUUAAUAUAACUAAAGUAAAUACUCAAACAUUACCAGGUGUUCAUUUGUUAGCUUGAAAAUGUUCAAAUAUAAAUGUUUAUAGUACUGCACAGUAACAUCGUUUGUAACUAGAUAAUCAUGAUGUUUAUGUAGUUUUAUAUACAUUGUUGGUUUCAAUAGGUGAAAAAAAUCUCAGUUUUUUCUGUAAAAAGGGAUUUGCUGUAUUUUAAAUAAGAUAUAAAGAUUUCAGACAGGUUUUAUGGCCAUAUAUAAAUGGUUGUUUGCAUUUAACCUGAGCCACUAUGCAAACAACCAAUAUAUACGACCAUAUAAUCUGCUAAUAAUAUACAUUUACAUGUUUACUAUAUCAGAUAUAUCAUAGCCCAUUCAGUGUGUACAUGUACAAUGUACGUAAUGUUUAAAUAAUGUAGACUAGGUUAUUUAUUAGAUAAUAAUCAAUUUAAACAUGUUAUGGAAAAAUAUAAGGUCUGAGUGUCCCAUACAUGUACUUGUGUAUCUUAGUUAACAUUGUAUAUUUACAAUAUUUCUUCAUUUAUAAUACUAUUAUUAAUUUCUAAGUUAUCAUUCUUCAUGUUUAUUUAUUUCAUUUUACUUUAGUUAGGUUUAAAGUGUAUUAUUUCUGCUUUACUGGUACCAAAUAAUGUUAUAAUAGUAUUUCUAUGUUACUUGUACCAAAAUAAAGUAUCAAUUAGAGCUUGAACCAAAAGUAAUAAAUCUUCACCAACGUAUGGAACAUAGCUGUAUUUCAAAAUAUCGCACUUGUUUUGGUACAUGCAUCUGCAUAGAGUAAGUUAUUAAACAUUGGUAAAGGAGUAGCCUUUAUCAUCAGUAUUAAGCCAAUCUAGCAUGCACAUCGGAUUCCACGCUAUCUGACCAGGCUUUAUAUAUUGUUAAAAAUUCUAAAUUUGUAUUUUACAACUUUGAUAUUCAAAUCCCUUUAUUUUCGGAUGGACUGUUCCAAAUUCAAACAAGACAUUCAGUACAUAUAAACAACAGGUUAAAGAUUAUAGAAAGACAAGUUGUCUUUUAUUCAAAUUUAGCAUAGAAGUGGAAAAGUACUUAGACUUUAUUUACAUAGAUUUUUUUUAUUUUUAUAGGUUAUUUUUAUGCAAGCAAAAUGUUAACAAAUAAGAUUCCCAUGAUUUUUCCAGUUGAUAUGAAAGUAGGCAAAUUCUUUGGAGCGGGGAAAUCUAAUAAACAAACUGGGCAGAAUAAACGGAUCUAGAGUCUCACAUGGCUCGUUUACCUUUUCCUACUUGUACCUUACAAUCUAAAUUGUCACAAAUAAAAUAAUUGAUCUAGUCUAAGUCAUCCAGACGUUUGCAUUUUACUUCCCGAAACAUCUGGAUGAUACAGACUACAAGCAAACCCUUUUGCCGACAAGUUGUACAAACACAAAUGUUAAAAUUAAAAUUUUCCUGUUGUCACUGGAGGGUUUUUAUUCUUUCUAGAAGUAUUUAUUUUUCAACUAGUGCUAUAUCUUGUUGUAAAUACAAAAACGUCUUUCUUAUUUCGUUUCUUUUUUCUUUCAAAACACUGCCAGGUUUUUGGAAGGUAGACCGAGUGUGUUUACUAAUUCAUUAGACACGAGGUAAAAUUUUAACACUGGAAUUACUUAGGUACUUAUGUUCAGCAAGAAUUGUUCAUAUUUUUAUUAUUGUGAUUAGGUUACAUAAAGGCUUGUAACCAGGCUAGAAAUUGUCUUCUUUUAGGCAAGCCUGUAGGGAAAUAUAAGGGAAGCCUGUACGGAGAUUUAAGGCAAGCCUGACGUAACUUUUAAGGCAAAACUCUAGUGAGAUUUAAAUUGAAAUCUUUCCUCCAUUUUUGUUUUUAAGUCACCCUGAAAAGCAUGUUACUUUGUAAAGUCUGUAAAUUACUAUUAGUUCGGAUGCAUUUUAUUUUUUGUGUACAUGUAUAUGCUUUGAUUAUAUUUUGUGUAGUUGUUGAGAAAAAGAUAAUUGUUAUAAAUAUAUAUAUUUUUGGUGAGACGUUCUCAAUAAUAAUGAUGUUGUAUGUUAGAAAAUGUUCUAAUGAAGGACAUUGUCUCAGGAUAAAUUUUGAUGAUUUAAAAUA
Ruditapes philippinarum (Manila clam) is the source of this 5791-nucleotide long non-coding RNA. RefSeq lists it as uncharacterized. The transcript is spliced from 2 exons. Lineage: Eukaryota; Metazoa; Mollusca; Bivalvia; Venerida; Veneridae. The record is from RefSeq and is a predicted model, not a curated record.